This 5119-nucleotide long non-coding RNA is filed under the name Mytilus galloprovincialis (Mediterranean mussel). Lineage: Eukaryota; Metazoa; Mollusca; Bivalvia; Mytilida; Mytilidae. The record is from RNAcentral.
CUUUUGUCUUUUAAGAAAUCUUCCAAUCUCUAUGAAAAGUAAAAAAAAAAAAUUAAAAAAUUGCUUUUUACUGAGCUUAUAAAAAUUAGUUCAGAGUUAUCCCCACUUUGAUCUUUUUGUUGAAUGUUUUUUUUAUGUUUUCAACUUGUAUAACCAAUAUGUGGUGUUUAACAUUUAUCAAUAUUUUUUAGUCUCCCCCCCCUAAAAUACACCAAAUUAACUUCUAUGAUAAAUAUAAAACAUUUCUUUAACUAAACAAAAGUAAAAGUUUCUAAAUGUUAUUAUGUUACCACCAUGUUGUCUUAACCAUAAAAGUAUAAAACUGUGGACAAUUUCUUCCUGCUUAAAUCAUUUAUUGGAUUCUGUUUUUUUUUUUUUUAGAUAUAUUUUGUUCUUUAGUCCCACCUCUUGUCGUUAUUCUUUUAUCCACCAAAUAUUUAACCACCAGCAGGGGAGGUAUGUCUUCCUUUAUCCAAUCAUUUUGUAGUCCCGCUAAAUUUUUUCUGGAGAUUGUACAUUGAGGCUCAAAGAUUGUAUCAGAAACAGUGAAAAAUCAAUUCACAAUUAAAUAUGUAUUUGAGCGGUUAGGAAAAUCCAGCAUUCUUCAUGCAUUACAUUGUCAUUCAUACAACCUAAAAAAAUCAUGCUUUGAAAAAGUCAUUAUAAGGUAUCAAAGAUGUCUUCCAUCUUGUAGAUUGUGCCUUGAAUCAUUCAGAUUUUGUCAUGCAUAUAAAAACAAAAAGAAUUUGAUUAGAAUACAGAAUUUGUAAUUAUAUUUAAUAGAAGUUGGAAUUGACAAAAAGUUUGAUAACUGACUUAUCAGGAAACUUGUGUGUGUUUAAAGAAAAACAAGAGUUACUUAGAAUUGCAAGUAUCACCAAUGAGCCUCAAUGUUCAAUUUUUGUAUAUAGAAAAUAGUUAUGCAUGUAUAAAUUGCAAAAUUAUUAUAAAUCAUCAAAAAUUUCCAAAUUCAGAUAUAUACCAUUAUAACUUGUAUGCAAUACCAUUUAAAUGUCAAGUAAGCUAGUCAUUAGAAGCAGCCCAAUAUUUACCAAGCCUUAAUUUACACCAAAUUAAUCUAUAAAGCCAAGUAACCUGUUCUUAUCAGCAAUAAUAGUUGAAUAAUGGCAGACGAUCAUUCAUAUUUUUUACAGGUCAUAUUGCAAAAAAAUAUCAUAUCAUCAAAUUUACUGAGAUUAAAAUUUAUAGUACUUAUGUUUUUUUUGUCCAGGACUUAAAAUGUAAAAUGUUCUGAUAUUAUUUUUCAUUGCAAAUUAAAAGCAUACAAACUCAGCUUGUCUAAUCACCAAAGAAAAUUAUACAUAGGUUUUUGAUUGGUUUAUUUGAAAAAAGUUGAAUGGUACAGAUAAUCUGAUUGGUGAAAAAAUAAUCUUAAGUGCCAUAUAUGGAGAUGUUUUUUUUGUCUAGUCAUGAUACAAGGUCAGCUGCAUUCCAGUGUUUUAAGAAAUUCAAUCUUUUGAUGUGAUGGCUGUGAUUAAAAUGCAAUCAUGAUUUUAAGGGAUGUAAAACUUUUUAAUUUUACAUGGUUGUUUUAAUAAUUUUUAGACUUCAAUUGUGAUAAAUUAACUUUUGAGUAAAAUAUGACAAAUGUUUUUUCUUCAAAAUUUAUUCACAUAUAAUGGAGAUAUAUAUGAAAUUAUAUUUGAAAUUUUUUUUCUACUAUUGAACUUUGACAAAUUCAUGAAAAUCCUGGCAUGACAAGGUUAUGAACAAGAAAAAUUGCUCAAACAUAAAAAAAAGCAAAAACCGUACAAAUUAAAUAUUUAUCAUGACAAUAAUGGUUUUAUUUUAAGUCACUAAAUAAUGUUUGAUGUUUUGUUGUUUCAUUCCACCAACCAUCCCUUAAGAUAAUGUAAGAUGAUACAAUGUUAACUAGUCUUGUUGUCAUGGUUGAGAUUCCAGGGUCUGCUGAACAGAAAGUUUGACACAUUUCUUCAUGUUUAACUCUAUUGUUUCAAUAUUUGAAGAUUGAUAGAAUUAUUCACUGAUUGAUCGAGUAAUUCAUAAUCCCUGCAUAUGAGUUUGUUUAUGCAGAAAGUUUCAGUCUAUAGAUGAAGCAAUCUUCUUCGCAAAUAUUAAUUUCUAUUCAAAUUUUGAUCAGAAGUUGAACUUCAAAAAUCCAUGAUAUUCUGUUUGAUUAGAAAUCCAAAAGUCUAUCAGAGGAAGUCCCAUUAAAGAUUGCUGGCUAUAUAACUAUGACAACCUUUCUGUUCAGCAUAAAAUAAUGUGGUAAUUAAUUGUGGUAUUUUGUGAACUUGUCACAUGCAACUCCAUGGUCCAAUCUGAUUGGUACAUAUCAUGUCAUGUGACAUAUCUUAGACCAAUCACACCAUUUCAGAGUUUCCAUGGUUGCAAUAGCAUGAAGACAAGUCUACAGAACUAUUGAUUUGCAUAUUUUAUAUAUUUGUUUUAUUUAAUGUUAUUGUGUGGGUGCUUUGUAUAAAUGUAUUUGUAUAUAAUAAUCAAAUUUCAUUAUAUUUUCCAUAAUGAUUAAAGUGUGUAAACAAAUAAUAUUAUGAAGGUACCAAACAGUCUUUUCUGUGUGAAAAUAAACAAAACAAUGGAGUAAUUUUUAAUAAUAUUGAUUUUGUUUAUUAUGAAUAUUUCAUAGUAUCAUGCUCUUUAUCAAAAUGGAUUUUUUUGUGUAUUUAUGUUCAUAAAUUGACAUGAUUUCCAAAGAUUUUUAACGACUAAAUAUAUGUGACCUUUAGACCUGUAAAGUUUGCAUUAUGCAUGCUGCCAUAGUAAGGCUUCCUCCUCUAGCAGUGUCAAAACUUGCCAGCAUUGAAUCUCAUCAGACAGAGUUUGGUGGAAAUAAAAUAAGACAUAAAAUAGGGACUAUUUCAGAAAAAAAAUGUUUUGGGGUUUAGCGGCACAUGUUUUUAGCGUGCAGUAUUUAUAGAAUUUGAUAUAAAAUAAUCCAGGUUAGAUCUUCCGCAAAUGGAAAUGUGAAAAGUACUUUAGCUUCAUUGCAAUUCUUUCUGGAAUUACCAAUAACAGAAAAUAAAUCUCAAAAUCGUAACCGAUAAGUUUCAUAUACCAAUAUGCAUUUAUUAAAUUUUGGAGGUGAAAACAAACCAUGUUUACUAAAGAAAAGUGCAUAUAUUUUACUGAUUUUAUUAAGAUUACUUUGUGGAUCUGUUUAAAAUUAAGUCUUGAAAAGUGUAUGCUUGAUUUAGGUUUCUUAUGAUCAUAAUGACAUGAAUUGAAUCUGAUGGUUAAAGAUCUGUUAUGUAAUCUCAAAACACCAAACUCUAGUCUGCAGAAAAUAGUCAUAUCCCAACCAUGUCUUAUCAUCAAAAACAUUUCAGAAUAAUCUAAAAGGGUAAUUGAAUGUUUGAGUGAAUGCUUUUAACACAAAAAUUUCUUGUGAACAUUUUAUUUUUGACCACUCUAUUAAGAAAGUAAAUAAUGGAGUAAAUGACUAUAUAAAAUAUAUCAAUAAAAUUCUCUAUUUAGUCGGUAAACAUAUCUUUUUAUAGCAGCUAGCUGCAUUGUACACGACUAAUGAUUUAUGAUUAAAAUUUGUACCUUAAUUAUCAAUGAAAAAAUUGUUGUGCUUUUAAAUAUGAAAUCUAAAAAUAACCAGAUUGAAAUUUGGAUGUUUGUUGCUAAAAAAAUCUUAUUUAAAAGGACCAACACACAAAAUUAGGCAGCAAAACUUAUGUUUACAAAAAACAAAAUACCUUGUUUUAUGAUUUCUAAUUAUUUGUAACUAUCUUGAUUAAAAAGUAGUUAGGACUUUUCUUUUGUUUUAUAAACAAUAUAAGGGUCUUAUUAUGGCUCCCACCAAAUUGAUUGAGAUAAUUAAAUAUUGAAUGAUUUUCAGAUUUGGAAAUAACUUGGAAAUUAUAAGUUUUAAUAUCAAUUUUUCAACAUGUAGGUAUUGACUUAAUGUAUGUAGUUAUUGAUUGAAAGGAUAAGUUGGUAAAGGUAUUCCUGUUACAAAAAUUAUGGCCCAUGUUGUAACCUGAUAUUGAAAAGGACAUUUUCUGGGUCAUAGAUGUAAUAAAAUAAUUAAUCACAUGUUUCCUGAUCAAUGUGAAGGGAAGAUUCACUGCAAAAUACAAAGACUUUUUUUUUACAUCAUCAUCAAUGCUAAUAUGAUGAACAACAAGCUGUAAAGAUCAACUUCAAUAAAAUCAAAAACAACAAAAUAUGAGAACAAAGUUCGGUUUCAGAGUAAUAGCUUAAAGUUCAAUUGUCAUAAAAGUAGAUAAUAAAUAGAAUUCUAGUUGCUGCAUAUAGUUAUGUAAAGAAUUCAAGGAGUGUAUGACAUUCAGAAUGUUGAACAAACUCUUUGUAAGGUUAUUCCCUACAAAUGGCCUGAAAGGGUUAAUAGUCAAAUAAACAAAACUGCUAGCCGUUAUAUGAUUGGUUGGACUGGAUUCUUUAAAUUUUAAUUUAACCUCUUAAAGGUUUAACGAAUUUUUCAUGAAGCAUUCAUAACAUUACAUCAAUCGUUAAAUAGUUUGCUCAUGGAUCAAAUUCAAUUCAUUUAUUGUGCAGCACACCAACAAUUUAUGGUAUGUAACAAACUGGAAUACAAUCCAGUUUUAUUAAAAAAAAAAUCAAAUUUUGUAAUUAGAUAAAUAUAGUGAAUAUUUCUGUUUAUGUUCAUGGUUAAUCAUUGUUAAAAGAUAUGUAAAUUGAAACUACUCUCAACUAAAAAUAUAACUGCUGUAGAAUAGUUCCAAAUCUUCAUUUUAUAAGGCAACUAUCUUCUAAGUUUCAACUGUUUAUUUGUGUGGAGAUAUAUUAUAAAGAAACAAAUAGAUUAUAAUUAUCGAGGUCACUCAUUGUUGAAGUAAGUUUUUGGAAGAGCUUGAAGGGUAUUAAAGCAGCAGUUCUAAAUAUUUAACAUUCCUGAUAACUAUCAUGACCUUUGACCUUGUGAAUGACGACAUAUUAUGCAACCAUUUUUAAUUGUGUCACAUGCCACCACCACCAUUGUAAUGAGACUUGCACAUUAUUUUUGACAAGUCUAUGAAAAACCCCCGUUAGACCUGCUCCACCUUUGUAUGUAUAUUUGUGGUACCUGUUGCUUUUUACAGAGUCUAUAGUAUUUUAAUUUAAUAAAGUGUAUAUUACGUAUGAA